CCUGGCUCCGUUGAAGGCUAGCUACAGGCUUAACACAUGCAAGUCGAGGGGCAGCAUGGUCUUAGCUUGCUAAGGCCGAUGGCGACCGGCGCACGGGUGAGUAACACGUAUCCAACCUGCCGUCUACUCUUGGACAGCCUUCUGAAAGGAAGAUUAAUACAAGAUGGCAUCAUGAGUCCGCAUGUUCACAUGAUUAAAGGUAUUCCGGUAGACGAUGGGGAUGCGUUCCAUUAGAUAGUAGGCGGGGUAACGGCCCACCUAGUCUUCGAUGGAUAGGGGUUCUGAGAGGAAGGUCCCCCACAUUGGAACUGAGACACGGUCCAAACUCCUACGGGAGGCAGCAGUGAGGAAUAUUGGUCAAUGGGCGAGAGCCUGAACCAGCCAAGUAGCGUGAAGGAUGACUGCCCUAUGGGUUGUAAACUUCUUUUAUAAAGGAAUAAAGUCGGGUAUGGAUACCCGUUUGCAUGUACUUUAUGAAUAAGGAUCGGCUAACUCCGUGCCAGCAGCCGCGGUAAUACGGAGGAUCCGAGCGUUAUCCGGAUUUAUUGGGUUUAAAGGGAGCGUAGAUGGAUGUUUAAGUCAGUUGUGAAAGUUUGCGGCUCAACCGUAAAAUUGCAGUUGAUACUGGAUAUCUUGAGUGCAGUUGAGGCAGGCGGAAUUCGUGGUGUAGCGGUGAAAUGCUUAGAUAUCACGAAGAACUCCGAUUGCGAAGGCAGCCUGCUAAGCUGCAACUGACAUUGAGGCUCGAAAGUGUGGGUAUCAAACAGGAUUAGAUACCCUGGUAGUCCACACGGUAAACGAUGAAUACUCGCUGUUUGCGAUAUACAGCAAGCGGCCAAGCGAAAGCGUUAAGUAUUCCACCUGGGGAGUACGCCGGCAACGGUGAAACUCAAAGGAAUUGACGGGGGCCCGCACAAGCGGAGGAACAUGUGGUUUAAUUCGAUGAUACGCGAGGAACCUUACCCGGGCUUAAAUUGCAGAUGAAUUACGGUGAAAGCCGUAAGCCGCAAGGCAUCUGUGAAGGUGCUGCAUGGUUGUCGUCAGCUCGUGCCGUGAGGUGUCGGCUUAAGUGCCAUAACGAGCGCAACCCUUGUUGUCAGUUACUAACAGGUUCCGCUGAGGACUCUGACAAGACUGCCAUCGUAAGAUGUGAGGAAGGUGGGGAUGACGUCAAAUCAGCACGGCCCUUACGUCCGGGGCUACACACGUGUUACAAUGGGGGGUACAGAGGGCCGCUACCACGCGAGUGGAUGCCAAUCCCAAAAACCUCUCUCAGUUCGGACUGGAGUCUGCAACCCGACUCCACGAAGCUGGAUUCGCUAGUAAUCGCGCAUCAGCCACGGCGCGGUGAAUACGUUCCCGGGCCUUGUACACACCGCCC
RNAcentral lists this ribosomal RNA (1381 nucleotides) under uncultured bacterium. RNAcentral describes it as "bacterial SSU rRNA". It matches the Rfam family "Bacterial small subunit ribosomal RNA", at positions 18 to 1395 of the family's 1533-position model. The record is from RNAcentral.